UCUGGGUUGCAUGGCUAUGUGCCGUUGCUUUUGGCUCGGUUGCGAUCGUGUCAUGACGAAACGGUUUCGUUGCUGUGCAGUCUUUUUGCCGUGUCUGUUUUCGACAGGUGUUGAUGGACCGUGUGUCUGUCUUCAUGCUUUCAGAUCUCUUAACCGGGUGUCGGAGGCGGACGGCGCGUUUACUUUGAACAAAUUUGAGUGCUCAAAGCAGGCUUUUGGCUGAAAUUUCUUGCAUGGAAUAAUGGAAUAGGACUUCGGAUCUAUUUUGUUGGUUCGGAUCCGAAGUAAUGG
RNAcentral lists this ribosomal RNA (291 nucleotides) under Discogasteroides ostracii. Its description in RNAcentral is "partial 18S ribosomal RNA". The stretch from base 177 to 291 matches the Rfam family "Eukaryotic small subunit ribosomal RNA", at positions 749 to 868 of the family's 1831-position model. Lineage: Eukaryota; Metazoa; Platyhelminthes; Trematoda; Plagiorchiida; Faustulidae. The record is from RNAcentral.